UACACGGAGAGUUUGAUCCUGGCUCAGAAUGAACGCUGGCGGCGUGCCUAACACAUGCAAGUCGAACGAUAAGGAAGGCUUCGGCCUUCUGGACAGUGGCGCACGGGUGAGUAACGCGUGGGUAACCUACCCUUCAGUUUGGAAUAACGCCUCGAAAGGGGUGCUAAUACCGAAUAUGACCACGAAAACUACGGUUUUUGAGGUAAAAGGUGGCGAUUCUUCGGAAGCUAUCGCUGAGGGACGGGCCCGCGUGACAUUAGAUUGAUGGUGGGGUAAUGGCCUACCAUAUUGUCUACGAUGUCUAGCUGGUCUGAGAGGAUGAUCAGCCACACUGGGACUGGAACACGGCCCAGACUCCUACGGGAGG
This 367-nucleotide ribosomal RNA is filed under the name Deltaproteobacteria bacterium. RNAcentral's name for it is "bacterial SSU rRNA". It matches the Rfam family "Bacterial small subunit ribosomal RNA", at positions 1 to 348 of the family's 1533-position model. Lineage: Bacteria; Pseudomonadati; Myxococcota; Myxococcia. The record is from RNAcentral.